AUGCUUGUCUCAAAGAUUAAGCCAUGCAUGUCUAAGUAUAAGCAAUUAUACAGCGAAACUGCGAAUGGCUCAUUAUAUAAGUUAUCGUUUAUUUGAUAGUGCCUUUCCUACUUGGAUAACUGUGGCAAUUCUAGAGCUAAUACAUGCUAAAAAUCCCGACUUCGGAAGGGAUGUAUUUAUUAGAUUAAAAACCAAUGCCCUUCGGGGCUCUCUGGUGAUUCAUGAUAACUCCACGGAUCGCACGGCCUUGCGCCGGCGAUGGUUCAUUCAAAUUUCUUCCCUAUCAACUUUCGAAGUUUGGGUCUUGGCCAAACUUGGUUUCAACGGGUAACGGAGGGUUAGGGCUCGACCCCGGAGAAGGAGCCUGAGAAACGGCUACUACAUCCAAGGAAGGCAGCAGGCGCGCAAAUUACCCAAUCCCGAUUCGGGGAGGUAGUGACAAUAAAUACUGAUACAGGGCUCUUUUGGGUCCUGUAAUUGGAAUGAGUACAAUUUAAAUCCCUUAACGAGGAACAAUUGGAGGGCAAGUCUGGUGCCAGCAGCCGCGGUAAUUCCAGCUCCAAUAGCGUAUAUUAAAGUUGUUGAGGUUAAAAAGCUCGUAGUUGAACCUUGGGCCUGGCUGGCCGGUCCGCCUCACCGCGUGCACUGGUCCGGCCGGGUCUUUCCCUCUGUGGAACCCCAUGCCCUUCACUGGGUGUGGCGGGGAAACAGGACUUUUACUUUGAAAAAAUUAGAGUGCUCCAGGCAGGCCUUUGCUCGAAUACAUUAGCAUGGAAUAAUAGAAUAGGACGUGUGGUUCUAUUUUGUUGGUUUCUAGGACCGCCGUAAUGAUUAAUAGGGACAGUCGGGGGCGUCAGUAUUCCAUAGUCAGAGGUGAAAUUCUUGGAUCUAUGGAAGACUAACUACUGCGAAAGCAUUCGUCAAGGAUGUUUUCAUUAAUCAGGAACGAAAGUUAGGGGAUCGAAGACGAUCAGAUACCGUCGUAGUCUUAACCAUAAACUAUGCCGACUAGGGAUCGGACGGUGUUAUUUAUGACCCGUUCGGCACCUUACGAGAAAUCAAAAUGCUUGGGCUC
RNAcentral lists this ribosomal RNA (1075 nucleotides) under Hydropisphaera peziza. RNAcentral describes it as "SSU rRNA". It matches the Rfam family "Eukaryotic small subunit ribosomal RNA", at positions 28 to 1114 of the family's 1831-position model. The record is from RNAcentral. Lineage: Eukaryota; Fungi; Ascomycota; Sordariomycetes; Hypocreales; Bionectriaceae.